This is a long non-coding RNA of Cotesia glomerata, 574 nucleotides long. RefSeq lists it as uncharacterized. The record is from RefSeq and is a predicted model, not a curated record. NCBI's taxonomy places the organism in Eukaryota, Metazoa, Arthropoda, Insecta, Hymenoptera, Braconidae. The transcript has 3 exons.
AUGGUUCUUCUCGCGAUCCAGCGGAGCUGCCAAUGAGACGACUCCCGUGGAAGAAAUAGUGAAUUUGUCGUCAGCGAUGCCCGUUGGAAUAUCGAAAGUAACAUUAACUGGAAAUAAAAAAGUAGAGGGCGUCGGGUGAGCUAACAAAAAGAUGGAAGCUUGCACGUGCGUGGAUUUCCUUACCGGCCAAGGUGAAGGAUUCAAGCAAUUAUAAAACCACCUAGCUUGUGAUUCGACUCAUCUUCUUCAUACCACCGCUACCAAGGGACUUCCGAGAUAAGAAUGCCUGGGAAUUUUUUGCAACACUGAAUUCCUAGCGAGUUUCAACUUAGCGGAUAGAUGGCUAUUAGUUUUGCUGUCAUGGACAUUUGUUUCAGGUGUAAACAUGUUUUUUUCUGUGUAAAUCGAGAAUCUGAAGAGUUAAUUUCGAUAAAGAAGAUAUUAAAUUGAUAUUUAACACAUUUUUCCGCAUUAAUUUUGAGCUAGAAGCCUUGAAAUAAUGUAUGAUUUAAAUUUUAGCUUCGUGAUGAGUGACUACGACAAAAUGGCAGAGGGAAUCAAAAUGGUGGAGUCA